This is a long non-coding RNA of Capsicum annuum, 911 nucleotides long. RefSeq lists it as uncharacterized. The record is from RefSeq and is a predicted model, not a curated record. The transcript has 5 exons. NCBI's taxonomy places the organism in Eukaryota, Viridiplantae, Streptophyta, Magnoliopsida, Solanales, Solanaceae.
GCAGGAAUCACAGGUAUAAAAAGCCAUCCAGCAAGUUGCAAAUCUAAGACCAAGAUGAACCUGUAAUAUUGGAAGAAAUUUUGGAGGCAAGAAACCAAAAUCUUUGAAGGGGGUGGAUAGUCAUUGAUGAAAUUGAGUGGAUAUAUCCCCAACAGGCAAGAAUUUGAUCUUGAAUAUGAUAAUGAUGUUGAGCAACUCUUGGCUGAUAUGGAAUCCAAGGAAACUGAAACUGAAGAGGAGCGUGAACUUAAGUUGCGGGUAAUGCGUAUCUAUUCCAAGAGUUAUCGUGUUCCUUCAGAGUCAAGUUUCAACAAAUAAUGGUAGGGUUGAUGAAGGAAAGCGCCCCCGGAUUUUAUUCGAGAGGAAUUUACUCCAACCAAGUGAACUUGAGAAGAUUUUAUCUCCGGAAGAGAAAGAUAUAUGCCGACGUUAUGAUGUCAUUAUUUUUCUUCCUCUCGAAGGAGGAACAUGAAGAAUUACUAAAGGCUGGUCUCAAAACAUAGAUAUCUGAAAAGAAUACAAGAACUCAAGGAAGCUAGGAAGCUAGAGCUGCUGGUUGUUGUUCAUCGGCUGAAGUUGAUAGAUACAUAGAAAGGAAAAGGAAGCGGGAAGUUGAAGGUGAUGUUCCCAGAAAAGAAAGUUCUCAGAUUGGUCUACUGAUCCAGGAGAGCCUGAACAUGCCUGCUUCUUCCGACUCACUUGGAACACAUUCAAAUAGAAAACCUUGUAGCCAGGACUCAUUAAAUGGGACAGUCAAUUUAAAUGUGCUGGAACUCCGUUUGCGCACACAAACUUUACACGACAUAUUGACAAGUACCCAUUAAUUUCAGGAAAAAGUAAAGCCUUACAACCCCAUUGCCCCAACACAAACUGAUACAAGUAUGAUCAUGACACUUUUGAGUAUUUUUGAA